UACGGAGGAUGCGAGCGUUAUCCGGAUUUAUUGGGUUUAAAGGGUGCGUAGGCGGACUGACAAGUCAGCGGUCAAAUCGCGGGGCUCAACCCCGCUUCGCCGUUGAAACUGUCAGCCUUGAGUGAGCGAGAAGUAAGCGGAAUGCGUGGUGUAGCGGUGAAAUGCAUAGAUAUCACGCAGAACCCCGAUUGCGAAGGCAGCUUACCGGCGCUCAACUGACGCUGAGGCACGAAAGUGCGGGGAUCAAA
Molecule: ribosomal RNA, 248 nt
Filed under: uncultured Muribaculaceae bacterium
Lineage: Bacteria; Pseudomonadati; Bacteroidota; Bacteroidia; Bacteroidales; Muribaculaceae
Description: partial 16S ribosomal RNA
Rfam family: Bacterial small subunit ribosomal RNA
Source: RNAcentral